This 421-nucleotide ribosomal RNA is filed under the name uncultured bacterium. Its description in RNAcentral is "bacterial SSU rRNA". It matches the Rfam family "Bacterial small subunit ribosomal RNA", at positions 355 to 774 of the family's 1533-position model. The record is from RNAcentral.
UAAGGAAUAUUGGUCAAUGGACGCAAGUCUGAACCAGCCAUGCCGCGUGAAGGAUGAAGGUCCUCUGGAUUGUAAACUUCUUUUAUCUGGGACGAAAACGGGAUUUUUAUCUCAAUUGACGGUACCAGAGGAAUAAGCACCGGCCAACUCCGUGCCAGCAGCCGCGGUAAUACGGAGGGUGCGAGCGUUAUCCGGAUUUACUGGGUUUAAAGGGUGCGUAGGUGGGCUUAUAAGUCAGUGGUGAAAUCUCCGAGCUUAACUUGGAAACUGCCGUUGAUACUAUAGGUCUUGAAUUAUCUGGAGGUAAGCGGAAUAUGUCAUGUAGCGGUGAAAUGCUUAGAUAUGACAUAGAACACCAAUUGCGAAGGCAGCUUACUACAUAUAAAUUGACGCUGAGGCACGAAAGCGUGGGGAUCAAACA